Non-coding RNA from Salmo salar (Atlantic salmon), 2616 nucleotides. The record is from RefSeq and is a predicted model, not a curated record. NCBI's taxonomy places the organism in Eukaryota, Metazoa, Chordata, Actinopteri, Salmoniformes, Salmonidae.
CUGACCUGUUCACCGGACGUGCUGCCUGUCCCAGACCUGCUGUUUUCAACUCUCUAGAGACAGCAGGAACGGUCACCUUCUGAUGAACCAGAGGAUACCUCAGUCAACAGAUGACUCUACUGACGACCAGGAAGCCACCAAAUCCACAAACUGAUAUCGCUUUUCUCAAACCAAUAUCCAACGCGUGUGUUAACUUCAGCAAACGUACCUGUCAUUUCUGAAACACAACUAGGCCUUAUGUGCUGUCUGAGAGUUAGUCAUCUUUGUUAUGUGAUCUGUUCCAUUAUUAUAUUGAAGGUGUACUUUAUGUGAUUCAUUCUUUAUUAUGAAAGGCAACAAGCUCUCCUAUUCCAUCAUGUCUGCUCCUUUUCCAUCUUUCUCCCUCUGUUUGUGACUGAAUGGUGCCCCCUGGUGGAGAUACAGCAGGUAGACCACGUAUACAGAUCUACUGUCUUUACACUAUACAGAUACUGUAUGUCUAGAUACAUACUGUGCCAUGCCUGAUCACAUUGGUCAUGCCUUGCCACAAUAGGCCAUGUGUUUCAUUCAGUUCUCUAAAUGGUUCAUUGUCCUUGUAUUCGCUCACAAUAACACAUAUCUAGGUCAUGGUGUUCCCUGCUGGUUUGAAAGAGCAUUUUUGCAUUUACUUUGACUUUAUGUACGUGUUUUGCUUACAUAACUAAUGUUGUGGUCUCUGUGUAUUUAAUGGACUUUUAUUGAUCCAGUGAUCGGAAAGAGGGAUGCUGACAUGGAGGAGAAUGUGUGGGGAUUAGAGGGUGGUGAGGAUGGGCUAUGUAUUGGGGGAGGUGAGGAUGGGCGAGGGAUUGGGGGAGGUUGAGGAUGGGCGAGGGAUUGGGGGAGGUUGAGGAUGGGCGAGGGAUAAGAGGGAUGUGAGGAUGGGCAAGGGAUUGGGUGGAGGUGAGGAUGGGCAAAGGAUUAGAGGGAGGUGGGGUUUGGGCCAGGGACUGGGGGGAGGUGCGGAUGUGCAAGGGAUGGGAGGAGGUGAGGAUGGGCGAGGGAUUGGGGGGACGUUAGGAUGAGACAGGGGGACGUGAGGAUGGGACAGGGAUUAGAGGGAGGUGAGGAUGGGUGAGGGAUUGGGGAGUUGAACAGUAUGUUUAUGGGGAGGAGGUAGGCAUGAUGAGAGGAGAAGAACAUUGUACCACGCAGAAGAAGGCCCAUGGCUCACAGAGCUGCUGGAGGAACACGUUGUGUAAUGAUGUGUGUAAUACUGUAGGUGUGUAAUACUGUCUAAUACUGUAGGUGUGUAAUACUGUGUAAUACUGUAGGUGUGUAAUACUGUGUAAUACUGUAGGUGUGUAAUACUGUGUAAUACUGUAGGUGUGUAAUACUGUGUAAUACUGUAGGUGUGCAAUACUGUGUAAUACUGUAGGUGUGUAAUACUGUGUAAUACUGUAGGUGUGUAAUACUGUGUAAUACAGGUGUUCCCUCUGAGGCCCAGGUGAAGAGGCUUGACUAGGCCUCAAUAAGGUCAAGACUUGGAUUAUGUCCUGAAGGGAAAUGCAGUUUAGCAGCCCUCGUCAUUAUGAAUGUGGUGGCCGUUAGUUUAUUAGAUCAUGAGAAGAAUGCCUGUUUGUUCAUGCAUCCUAUGGAACGCAACAAUGCUUCAGAUUCAUCCGGACCAUGAAAUCUACUAAACAACACCCCAGCAUUUUAUACCAGGCUAUGGUUUCUAUUCAUAGACACAUCUUGUCUGGUGAUAUUUUAGUGGGUGUGAAACGUUGUAUGCCUGUAUUUUUCAAGCUGAUACAGUAACUCCAGCCCUGCUACACCGUCCCUAUGGUUCUCCUGCCCCUCCUGUCGGACAGAAGGUUACACUCCAGUUCCAGAAGCGUCUUGCCUCCAUGGAGACCGUUUCCUUAUUAAGAUAAUUAUUUUCAAUCUGUGGCACCCGCCGACCUAAUUACUCUUCUGGAUCCGGCCGAUACUCAUCUGUUGACAUUCGGAACUCGUUCUCUGGGAUUUUAAAAGAAAAAGUGCAUGGAGAGGGGGGUGAAGAAUGUUUGGCAGAUUUCGUCCAGGUGUGGCAUUUAAGCUCCCAGCCCAGUCCCACUGUCUUUACUUAAAAUUAUAUUCUGUUUGUUCAGUUAAGGAACCUCGACUAUUCUCUGCGGGCAAAUGGAAAUGCAUGCACUCCAAUGGGCAUGUACUGGCAUUUUACUAUGUUUAUUCCUUGCCACAGCUGACCGUGGCAGAAAGCUUGCCCCGGUGUUAGUGCGCCUGGCAACUUUUUCACCCUAAAACUAUUUCCUAACUUUAAAGUGGAUGUGUGACCGAUGCUGAUUGACAUUGAAAAGGUGCCUCGAUCAAUUUAACCCAUCAUCAGAAUGAAACCUGUUUGGGGGAAGCUGGUGAUGUCAUGAGCAUCAUCGGCUCAACAGGGCAGGAUCCGUACUUGAUAUAUUAGGAAGAAGAGCAAAUUAUGAGAAAAAAAACUUUAUUCUCAGAAAUGUAUAUACAAUAUAUGUGUUAGGAGAUGACUGUUUAAGCAUUUGUGGAUCACCUGCAUCACAAAUGCAGUUUGCAUAUCUACAGGUAUAUUCCUACAUAUUCUUACAAUUCGUCCGUUUUAGAUGAAUAAACGCAACCUGGUUA